GACGAACGCUGGCGGCGUGCUUAACACAUGCAAGUCGAACGGAAAGGCCCUUUUGGGGGUCCACGAGUGGCGAACGGGGGAGUAACACGCGUGUGUUCUGCGCUCCACUCUGGGAUAAGCCUGCGAAACUGGGUCUAAUACAGCGUAGGACUGCUCCAUCCGUGUGGUGUGGGGGGGAGCUUUUGCGGGGUGGGGUGGGCCCGCGGCCUAUCAGCUUGUUGGUGGGGUGAUGUCGUACCACGGCGACGUGGGGUAGCCGGCCUGGGAGGGUGUGCGGCCACACUGGGAUGGGGCUCCGGCCCGGACUCCUCCGGGAGGCGGCGGUGGGGAAUAUUGCCCAAUGGUCGGAGGCCUAAUGCGGCGACGCCGCGUGGGGGAUAAGGGCCUUCGGUUUGUAAACCCCUUUCCGCACAGAGGAGGCGUAAGUGACGGUAUGUGGAGAAGAAGCACCGGCUAACUACGUG
Molecule: ribosomal RNA, 464 nt
Filed under: uncultured bacterium
Lineage: Bacteria
Description: partial 16S ribosomal RNA
Rfam family: Bacterial small subunit ribosomal RNA
Source: RNAcentral